RNAcentral lists this ribosomal RNA (512 nucleotides) under uncultured bacterium. RNAcentral describes it as "partial 16S ribosomal RNA". It matches the Rfam family "Bacterial small subunit ribosomal RNA", at positions 28 to 523 of the family's 1533-position model. The record is from RNAcentral.
GACGAACGCUGGCGGCGUGCCUAAUACAUGCAAGUCGAGCGGAACUGGGGGAGCUUGCUCCUUCCAGUUUAGCGGCGGACGGGUGAGUAACGCGUGGGCAACCUGCCCUGCAGAUCGGGAUAACUCCGGGAAACCGGUGCUAAUACCGAAUAGUUUGACGCCUCUCCUGAGGCGCUACGGAAAGACGGUUUCGGCUGUCACUGCAGGAUGGGCCCGCGGCGCAUUAGCUAGUUGGUGGGGUAACGGCCCACCAAGGCGACGAUGCGUAGCCGACCUGAGAGGGUGACCGGCCACACUGGGACUGAGACACGGCCCAGACUCCUACGGGAGGCAGCAGUAGGGAAUCUUCCGCAAUGGGCGCAAGUCUGACGGAGCAACGCCGCGUGAGUGACGAAGGUUUUCGGAUCGUAAAACUCUGUUGUGAGGGAAGAACACGUACCAACUAACUAUUGGUACCUUGACGGUACCUCGCCAGAAAGCCACGGCUAACUACGUGCCAGCCGCCGCAGUAA